Octodon degus (degu) is the source of this 956-nucleotide long non-coding RNA. RefSeq lists it as uncharacterized. The record is from RefSeq and is a predicted model, not a curated record. NCBI's taxonomy places the organism in Eukaryota, Metazoa, Chordata, Mammalia, Rodentia, Octodontidae. The transcript has 2 exons.
CCAGGCCUAGAAGAAAAAAGGGGGGAAGUGCCAGACAAGGGUGCUAUUCACGGACUGGGCUGGGUCAAAUAACCCCAAGUGGGGGGAGGCAGGAGGCCUUGAACAGCACGGAGUAGGAAGGACCCCGGCAGGUGGGCUGUUGAAGGCACAGGUAUGGACAGGAGAAGGCACAGCAGGUGUAGUGCCCCCACCAGCCCCAAUACGCCACUCCACACCAGCAAGCCUGCGCCUCCGAGGGGAGGUUCCCACCAGUUCCUGAUGAAUGGGGGAUUUCCACUGCCAGGCCUCGGAGACCCGUUGCUGCCGGCGCUUUCCUACUGUGGCCGCCAGAAGGAGGAGCCUUGAGCCCGGAAACCCUUCCCGCUGUCCCUGCGUCCCUAGGUCACGUCUGGUAGUCGUGGGAGGCCACUGCUGCUGUCUCGGGUUGGGUGGAUGGGAAAGGACUUUAAAAUAUUUUGACUUAAGAGAGCUAGUUCCAUUUGACUGUCAGGAAGUGGGCGGGGCUGGGUCGCGUACUUACAUUGUGUUGUUCAACUUGGACUUGGCUGACCUUAAGGAGUCCUGUGACCUUGACCAAAUCAUUUGUGCUUUGGUUUCUUCAUCAGUGCACCGGGAAUAAUUACUUUGCCUCCUCUGCCUUCCCAUUGGCCUACGUAGAGGGUAUAAUAUAAUGUGCUUAAUAAAAUGUAAGAGAUUGUUAACAAUAUAAUACCAGCACUUGUCCAGGGCUGCAGAGUGCAUUCCCAGACGUUAUCUCACCAAUCCCCACACCAACCUGUGAGGUGGCGGAUCAUUCGUCUUUCAUUCGUUCCCACUGCGGUCUCCUUGGUGACAUUUCCCAGCCGUUCGCAGCCUUGUAGCCACUCAUUUCCCUUUACUGCCGACUCUCCCCCUCCACUGUUACACAUUGCUGCUUUCUGCCUCGAUGCCCACACAAUAAACCCGUUGCAAAAUCC